AAGUGCCACACAGCCUGCCUGUCUGCCUGCCUGCCUGGCUGCCUGCUCUGCCUUCUACUUUACUUCACAACGAUACAGCGGCUCGACGAAACUUCAUCCACAGGAGUGAGUCUGCUGAGUCUGUCUGAUGUUUGCAAAGGAUACACACAACUAAGACGAGAUAAGACAAGAGACAAACCCUACGUUUGAAAAUUACUAACAGGGGGAAAAAGAACAAGAAGAGGAAGAAGAAGAAGAAGAAAAUUCAACGUGAACAGUUGACUUGGUUGAUUGACUGGAAACUUAUGCGAAUGGAAAUAGAUAUCACUCGACGUAAUAACAAUGAAUACGUACAUACAUACAUAGAUGUGUGCAUACAUGCUUAGGGUCUUCCUUUCUCUGUCUUUUUCUAAGCCCUAUUAUCGGAUACGGAAGAUCAAGCAAACGUAGUCAGUCCUACCUAGCCAGAUGAUGAUACGCGUACUCGUUUAUGUUCCAAUUUAUGUGCACGUGGGUAGGAGCUAACGAGAAAGCCAAGUCGUGAAGAUAAAAGUGA
This 535-nucleotide long non-coding RNA is filed under the name Polistes fuscatus (common paper wasp). Its description in RNAcentral is "uncharacterized LOC122518182". The record is from RNAcentral. Lineage: Eukaryota; Metazoa; Arthropoda; Insecta; Hymenoptera; Vespidae.